RNAcentral lists this ribosomal RNA (473 nucleotides) under uncultured bacterium. RNAcentral describes it as "bacterial SSU rRNA". It matches the Rfam family "Bacterial small subunit ribosomal RNA", at positions 355 to 825 of the family's 1533-position model. The record is from RNAcentral.
UCGAGAGGCUUCGGCAAUGGGGGAAACCCUGACCGAGCGACGCCGCGUGGGUGAUGAAGAUUCUCGGAUCGUAAAACCCUGUCAGGUGGGAUGAAAAACCAUUCGGUUAAUACCCGAGUGGCUUGACAGUACCACCAGAGGAAGCACCGGCUAACUCUGUGCCAGCAGCCGCGGUAAUACAGAGGGUGCGAGCGUUGUCCGGAAUCACUGGGCGUAAAGGGCGCGUAGGUGGCCUGAUAAGUAGGGGGUGAAAUCUCGAGGCUCAACUUCGAGGCUGCCUCCUAAACUGCCAGGCUUGAGCAGAGUAGAGGCAGGUGGAAUUCCCGGUGUAGCGGUGGAAUGCGUAGAGAUCGGGAAGAACAUCGGUGGCGAAGGCGGCCUGCUGGGCUCUUGCUGACACUGAGGCGCGACAGCGUGGGGAGCAAACAGGAUUAGAUACCCUUGUAGUCCCUGAGCGGGCUGGCAAGGCGCAU